GACGAACGCUGGCGGCGUGCUUAACACAUGCAAGUCGAACGGAAAGGCCCUGCUUUUGUGGGGUGCUCGAGUGGCGAACGGGUGAGUAACACGUGAGUAACCUGCCCUUGACUUUGGGAUAACUUCAGGAAACUGGGGCAAAUACCGGAUAGGAGCUCCUGCUGCAUGGUGGGGGUUGGAAAGUGUCGGCGGUUGGGGAUGGACUCGCGGCUUAUCAGCUGGUUGGUGGGGUAGUGGCUUACCAAGGCUUUGACGGGUAGCCGACGUGAUAGGGUGAUCGGCGACACGAGAACGGAGACAGCGUCAAUAGUCCUACGGUACGCAGCAGUAUGGAAUGGGAGGCAGUAGUCGGAAGUAUGACACAGUGAGCCCGAGUCUGAGGUGACGGCGCCGCGUGCGUAAAGAUGGCCUAUGGGUUAAGAACAGAUGUGGCCUUAGACGUAGAGGUAGUGACGGUACUGAAUAAAGAAGCACCGGCUAACUACGUG
Molecule: ribosomal RNA, 488 nt
Filed under: uncultured bacterium
Lineage: Bacteria
Description: partial 16S ribosomal RNA
Rfam family: Bacterial small subunit ribosomal RNA
Source: RNAcentral